UGACUGGAGAAUCCCAUAGACAGAGGAGCCUGGAGAGCUACAGUCUGUAGGAUCACACAAAGUUGAACAUGACCCAAGUGACUUAGCAAACAUGCACAAAUCUGAAUUAAACUUUCAUCACUGCAUGUAAUAGGAUGUUGUGUUUGUCUAAUGAGCCCUUAUAUUUUCUUAUUUUCCUAUCAUCUUCAGAUAUAGGAGAUCUGAGGCAGGAGAAUGGGUGAGAACAGAGGUUUCAGAGCCUGAGAGAUGAGCGAAUCAUGACUGAGAACACUGCCUGGCAUCUUCGCAGCUGCCGCAUGUGAGAAAAGGGUGGAGGGGGAACCAAGAGCCAGGAAGGAGCUGGGGUGGCCGCGUGGCUGAAGGACAGGGGGACCUCAUGGUGCGGGCAGGCAGGAGUGCUUGAUAAACUUGACUACAAGCCUGAGUUAGAACUGAAAGGAGACCCAAGAGAAAAAUUGCUGGAAAUAGAGUUGGGUGUGAGAAGAUGGUCACAUCCCAGGUUAUGUCCCUGGGACGGCUGCCAAGUGUGGGUUCUUGGCUUCAC
RNAcentral lists this long non-coding RNA (544 nucleotides) under Bos indicus x Bos taurus (hybrid cattle). RNAcentral describes it as "lncRNA (ENSBIXG00000006984.1)". Lineage: Eukaryota; Metazoa; Chordata; Mammalia; Artiodactyla; Bovidae. The record is from RNAcentral.